GUGAGGAAUAUUGGUCAAUGGGCGAGAGCCUGAACCAGCCAAGUAGCGUGAGGGAUGACUGCCCUAUGGGUUGUAAACCUCUUUUGCAGGGGGGUAAAGUGGUCCACGUGUGGAUCAUUGCAAGUACCCUGCGAAUAAGGAUCGGCUAACUCCGUGCCAGCAGCCGCGGUAAUACGGAGGAUCCGAGCGUUAUCCGGAGUUAUUGGGUUUAAAGGGAGCGUAGGCGUGGGUUUAAGUCAGCUGUGAAAUGCCGUGGCCCAACCAUGGAACUUCAGUUGAAACUGGACCUCUUGAAAGUACAUAAGGAAGGCGGAAUUCGUGGUGUAGCGGUGAAAUGCAUAGAUAUCACGAAGAACUCCGAUUGCGAAGGCAGCUUUCCGGGGUACAUCUGACGCUGAAGCUCGAAAGUGCGGGAAUCAAACAGGAUUAGAAACCCCGGUAGUCC
This 445-nucleotide ribosomal RNA is filed under the name uncultured bacterium. Its description in RNAcentral is "partial 16S ribosomal RNA". It matches the Rfam family "Bacterial small subunit ribosomal RNA", at positions 354 to 796 of the family's 1533-position model. The record is from RNAcentral.